CGGGUGUAGCUCAGUUGGUUAGAGCGCCGGCCUGUCACGCCGGAGGUCGCGGGUUCGAGCCCCGUCACUCGCGCCA
RNAcentral lists this transfer RNA (76 nucleotides) under Azospirillum brasilense. RNAcentral describes it as "tRNA-Asp". It matches the Rfam family "tRNA". Rfam says of the family: Transfer RNA (tRNA) molecules are approximately 80 nucleotides in length. Their secondary structure includes four short double-helical elements and three loops (D, anti-codon, and T loops). The record is from RNAcentral. RNAcentral also lists the same sequence under 1 other name. Lineage: Bacteria; Pseudomonadati; Pseudomonadota; Alphaproteobacteria; Rhodospirillales; Azospirillaceae.